UCCUGAGAACGCAGAAUGUCAGAGCUUAGAGGCCCUUUAGAACAGGGAAUGUCAGAGCCCUAAGAACACAGAAUAGUUGAGCUGGGAGAGGCCUUAGAACACAGGAUGUCAGAGCUGGGAGAGAGCUUAGAACAUAGAAUGUAUGAGCUUGGAGAGACCUUAAAACAGAGACUGUCAGAGCUGGGAGAGACCUUAGAACAGAGAAUGUGAGAGCUGGGAGAGAGCUUAGAACAGAGAAUGGCAGAGCUGGGAGAGACCUUAGAACAGAGAAUGUCAGAGCUGGGAGAGAGCUUAGAACAGAGAAUGUCAGAGCUGGGAGGGACCUAAGAAUGGAGAAUAUGAGAACUGGGAAAGUCUCUUAGAAAUAUAUAUAUUUUUUACAACCAUCUCAUUUGCAGAUGAAGAAACAGAGUUCCUCUUCUGCAUAAGAAAUUCAGGGGAGAUAGAAGAAAUGUCUUCCAAAUAGCCAGGGUUAUUGUAUAAUGGAAAGAGGUCUGAACAAAGAGUUAAGUGGCUUUGAGUCACAAUAUACAUUUAUGAAUUAUGUGGGCAAGUAAUUUCAUGUCUUGGCCUCAGUUUCUUCAUCUGUUAAAUUGGGAUAAAAAUAUUUGUACCAGCACCACUUUUACUGGGUUAUUUUAAGUAUGAAAUAAAAUAAGGCUAGAUACUGCUUGGUUAGCAGAAAAUGCUCAGGCAAUGUGCACUGUUUGUUGUCAUCAUUAUGAUUCUUAUUACUACUCUUAUCACUAUGACUGUUGUGACUCUUAUUAUUAGAUAUUGGAAAGGAUGAAGAGGAAGAACAUGGGCUCCUUUUCUUUGGGGUCUUUAAAAAUAUAUCUUCUUCCAUUUAUGAUGCAGUUGGUGCUUCCUAGAGUUUAAGGAAUGACUCUAAUAGUCUCCAAGGCCAAGGAUUUCUCUUCUUUUUUUAGGCCUCUGCCCAGCAUUACCCAUUCUCCAAUAAGGUUACAAGGAGGCAGAGAGGCUGCUAUACUUUUUUAGGGGGUUACAGGAACCAGUACCUGUGGUGGGGGAGGGGGAGGGGCCACAUGCAGCUGCUGGAGAUUUUCUGAGAGCAAAUUCCCGUCCUGGGCCAGGCAGUCCUCAUCUGGUGGGAGCAGGAAGGCUGGAGGGGGUGGUGGAGGUGGAAGGAGAUCCAGGUCAGGGAAGUUGUCCUCAGGAUCUGGGGCUGGAGGAGGAAGGGAGGACCCUGAACAUCCCACUGGAGAAUCACUGGGGGGCUUCUUGGACAAGGGAGGUUCCCGGGCCCGACUGGACCGACUUGCACAGGCUGCCUGCCUCACUUCAUCCACCUUUGUUGUGUUCCGUCGAGGGGGAGUUAGGGUGAUGAAGAUAGAGGAGGCCAUCCUCUUCUCUGGCUUGGUAGCCAUCAUCUCCUUCUGGCUUUUCUCUCAGAAGACGGCUAAAGCAAAGAGAAGACUUAGUUAGGGAAGAGCCUGUUUGUGCUCUUUAAAGGUCUUCCAUCCUUUCUUC
This 1491-nucleotide long non-coding RNA is filed under the name Monodelphis domestica (gray short-tailed opossum). Its description in RNAcentral is "lncRNA (ENSMODG00000048065.1)". Lineage: Eukaryota; Metazoa; Chordata; Mammalia; Didelphimorphia; Didelphidae. The record is from RNAcentral.